UGGACAGGGGGGUACCUGCCCCCAUUCGGCAGGGCCUGUCCAGCAGGUUGCGCGAGAGCGUGGCCAGUGGUUGUCGCUCGGGGGUGAUCGCCG
The sequence is a small RNA, 93 nucleotides long. It matches the Rfam family "che1 RNA". The record is from Rfam.